This 738-nucleotide unclassified non-coding RNA is filed under the name uncultured bacterium. RNAcentral describes it as "partial contains 16S ribosomal RNA, 16S-23S ribosomal RNA intergenic spacer, and 23S ribosomal RNA". The stretch from base 604 to 738 matches the Rfam family "Bacterial large subunit ribosomal RNA", at positions 1 to 135 of the family's 2925-position model. The record is from RNAcentral.
GCUUUGCGGCUGGAUCCCCUCCUUUUAAAGAGAAACCUGAGCUUUUCCUCCUCGUCUACGAGGAACUGAAAGCUCCAGGCCGAUCCUGACCGCUCUUGCCCGGAGAUAUCCGUCCAGUCUAUUCCCGGCGGUGCCUAGCGCCGUUGGGUCGCGUCCAACCAAUCGUUUUAUCGGGGCCGUAUGAGUCGAGUCUCGGAAGACGUCGGGGCUGUAGCUCAGCUGGGAGAGCGCCUGAUUUGCAUUCAGGAGGUCGUCGGUUCGAUCCCGAUCAGCUCCACCAGGCGUAGAUUGGGCGUGUAGCUCAGUUGGUUAGAGCGCAUCCCUGAUAAGGAUGAGGUCGCUGGUUCAAAUCCAGCCACGCCCACCACUGAACUCACGGCCGUUGGAUUCUGGCAGGUCUGAGCGAUAGGCGUUCGCUGAGCGCCCAUCGUUGAGACCUGACGAAGGUUGGGUCCCGUGAUCUUUGAAAUCUGAAUAUCGAAGGGCACAAUAGCAAUAUCGUCGGGCAUUGUCGUCAGCCUGCAAGGGCGGCGGCAAGCCAACGAGCGCCUUGCCCGGGUCGCGCUGUUCCGUAGGGGCGGCGUCGUUCCGGGUAAAUUUUAUGGUCAAGCUACUAAGGGCGUACGGGGGAUGCCUUGGCGAGAGCAGGCGAUGAAGGACGCGGCUACCUGCGAAAAGCUUCGGUGAGCUGGAAGCAAGCUACGACCCGAAGAUGUCCGAAUGGGGAAACCCGGAAGC